GCACAAGCGGUGGAGCAUGUGGUUAAUUCGAAGCAACGCGAAGAACCUUACCAGGUCUUGACAUCCCGAUGCUAUUUCUAGAGAUAGAAAGUUACUUCGGUACAUCGGUGACAGGUGGUGCAUGGUUGUCGUCAGCUCGUGUCGUGAGAUGUUGGGUUAAGUCCCGCAACGAGCGCAACCCCUACGUUUAGUUGCUAACGCGUGAAGGCGAGCACUCUAGACGAACUGCCGUUGACAAAACGGAGGAAGGUGGGGAUGACGUCAAAUCAUCAUGCCCCUUAUGUUCUGGGCUACACACGUGCUACAAUGGCCGGUACAGACGGACGCAAAGCCGCGAGGUGGAGCAAAUCCUAAAAAGCCGGUCUCAGUUCGGAUUGCAGGCUGCAAUUCGCCUGCAUGAAGUCGGAAUCGCUAGUAAUCGCAGGUCAGCAUACUGCGGUGAAUACGUUCCCGGGCCUU
Molecule: ribosomal RNA, 459 nt
Filed under: uncultured Pelotomaculum sp.
Lineage: Bacteria; Bacillati; Bacillota; Clostridia; Eubacteriales; Desulfotomaculaceae
Description: bacterial SSU rRNA
Rfam family: Bacterial small subunit ribosomal RNA
Source: RNAcentral